GUAAAUAGUGCUGUAUACUGCAUUAGCGUUAUUACGGUAUUAGUGCACAUAAACGACACGACAUAACACAACCGAGCUCAACAGUUGCAAUCCAUUCCCUGAAGGAUGAUAUGCGUGUGUAGACAUCGGGGGUCCUGGGGUCUCCGCAUCGCCGGCCAGAGAAGGAGACCACGCCUGCUGUUUCUCCAUCACACACCAACGGACCACCUGAAUCGCCCUUUAACAGAAAAGAUACAACAAAACUUAACAACUUCUGGGUUAAUGAUCGACACAUUCACCUCUCUCAGCUCAUCAACAGUGCCACCACCAGUUCUCACGUAACCCCA
Long non-coding RNA from Thunnus maccoyii (southern bluefin tuna), 326 nucleotides. RefSeq lists it as uncharacterized. NCBI's taxonomy places the organism in Eukaryota, Metazoa, Chordata, Actinopteri, Scombriformes, Scombridae. The transcript is spliced from 3 exons. The record is from RefSeq and is a predicted model, not a curated record.